AGAGGGAUAGCUGGCUCAAAUGGCGGUUCCAUACCCAGAUUUCCAAGGAAUCUCCAUACUGCUUUCCAAAUUGGCUGCACCAAUUUGCAAUCCCACCAGCAAU
RNAcentral lists this microRNA precursor (103 nucleotides) under Marmota monax (woodchuck). Lineage: Eukaryota; Metazoa; Chordata; Mammalia; Rodentia; Sciuridae. The record is from RNAcentral.